Molecule: ribosomal RNA, 429 nt
Filed under: bacterium
Lineage: Bacteria
Description: partial 16S ribosomal RNA
Rfam family: Bacterial small subunit ribosomal RNA
Source: RNAcentral
UAGGGAAUCUUCCACAAUGGACGCAAGUCUGAUGGAGCAACGCCGCGUGAGUGAAGAAGGUUUUCGGAUCGUAAAGCUCUGUUGUUGGUGAAGAAGGAUAGAGGUAGUAACUGGCCUUUAUUUGACGGUAAUCAACCAGAAAGUCACGGCUAACUACGUGCCAGCAGCCGCGGUAAUACGUAGGUGGCAAGCGUCGUCCGGAUUUAUUGGGCGUAAAGCGAGCGCAGGCGGAAGAAUAAGUCUGAUGUGAAAGCCCUCGGCUUAACCUAGGAACUGCAUCGGAAACUGUUUUUCUUGAGUGCAGAAGAGGAGAAUGGAAUUCCAUGUGUAGCGGUGGAAUGCGUAGAUAUAUGGAAGAACACCAGUGGCGAAGGCGACUCUCUGGUCUGCAACUGACGCUGAGGCUCGAAAGCAUGGGUAGCGAACAGG